GUCCACGCCGUAAACUAUCAAUACUCGUUUUCAGCGAUAUACAGUUGGAGACUAAGCGAAAGUGAUAAGUAUUGCACCUGGGGAGUACGAUCGCAAGGUUGAAACUCAAAGGAAUUGACGGGGGGCCCGCACAAGCGGUGGAGCAUGUGGUUUAAUUCGAUGAUACGCGAGGAACCUUACCAGUGCUUAAAAUGUAGAAGGAAUGAUGUGGAAACAUGUCAGUCUUCGGACCGUCUACAAGGUGCUGCAUGGCUGUCGU
RNAcentral lists this ribosomal RNA (259 nucleotides) under uncultured bacterium. RNAcentral describes it as "partial 16S ribosomal RNA". It matches the Rfam family "Bacterial small subunit ribosomal RNA", at positions 793 to 1055 of the family's 1533-position model. The record is from RNAcentral.